AAGCUCGUAGUUGAAUUUCGGGUUUGGCUGGGCGGUCUCCCAAUGGGUUGCACUGUUCCGGCUGAAUCUUUCCUUCUGGCGAACCAUUGUGCUAUUCAUUCAGUGCGCUGGGGAACCAGGACUUUUACUUUGAAAAAAUUAGAGUGUUUAAAGCAGGCUUACGCUUGAAUACAUUAGCAUGGAAUAAUAAAAUAGGACUUUGGUUUUAUUUUGUUAGUUUCUAAGACCGAAGUAAUGAUUAAUAGGGAUAGUUGGG
Molecule: ribosomal RNA, 256 nt
Filed under: uncultured eukaryote
Lineage: Eukaryota
Description: partial 18S ribosomal RNA
Rfam family: Eukaryotic small subunit ribosomal RNA
Source: RNAcentral